AGGUUGAGGGUUUGGAGCAGUACCUGCAGGACCCAGUGAAGCGGCAUUAUCUGAUCCGAUUCCUGCCUGCCGAGGUGAAGAGACAGCUGCUGCACAGGAGGAAGUACGUCUUCAGUUUUCACGAGAGUCUGCAGCGGCUCUGCUUCAUGGGUUUGCUGCACUUCGGCCCCACUGAGAAGUUCAUGGACAAAGAUCAGGUGUUUGUGUACCUGAAGACCAAGGCCACGAUCGCGGACACCACGGUGUGUGAGCCGCACUACCACCUGGCACUGGAGGGCGCGCGGCCCUUCGAGAGGCGACACUACCAGUUCAGCAGCGCACAGCACGUGGAGAACUACUGGUUUGACCUGCUGUGUGUGUGUCUCAACUCACCGCUAGGUACACACACCUCACACACACACACA
Molecule: non-coding RNA, 404 nt
Organism: Danio rerio (zebrafish)
Lineage: Eukaryota; Metazoa; Chordata; Actinopteri; Cypriniformes; Danionidae
Source: RefSeq, a predicted model, not a curated record